AUAUUGAAUGAAGAUAUUUGUGAUUUUCAUGUGAACUUAUGAAAUGGUUUUCUACCCCUUGUGGUAGCUUGUUUUUAAACGAAAAGGUUUCCGUGUGGGAAACGGUUUUAAAAAAAAAUUUUCGGUUUUUGUGAUUCUAAUAUUUCCAAAUGAGUUUCCGGGUGGGAAACAUUUUCAAAUGAUUGAUGCGCAUGUUUGAAAGUAAAUCGUGAUUAUGUGAUGUGGUGAUUGUAUAUAUGGUUUGUGAAUGAUUGUGGUUGUAAUUUGUACAUGUGCAAUAUCGUGCAAUUACAGGGGAGACUCUGUCCGCGUGAACAAAGGGUUCUCUAUAUUUGUGGCGGAUCUGUCAUCCCCUGGGGUCAAGAUUUUCAAAAAAAAAAAGGGCACUUCCGCUAUUCUUUUUGCCGAAAGAGGACCCCAGACCCCUGACAUCCAUUCGACAAAUUUUUACUGAACGACGCCAUGGGACCACAAUUAAACUCCGCAAUAGCUCCCGAACCUUUGACGAU
Molecule: long non-coding RNA, 509 nt
Filed under: Ananas comosus (pineapple)
Lineage: Eukaryota; Viridiplantae; Streptophyta; Magnoliopsida; Poales; Bromeliaceae
Description: long non-coding RNA (ACOM_LNC037245)
Source: RNAcentral